This 446-nucleotide ribosomal RNA is filed under the name uncultured Bacillota bacterium. RNAcentral describes it as "bacterial SSU rRNA". It matches the Rfam family "Bacterial small subunit ribosomal RNA", at positions 357 to 795 of the family's 1533-position model. The record is from RNAcentral. Lineage: Bacteria; Bacillati; Bacillota.
GGGAAUUUUCCGCAAUGGGCGAAAGCCUGAUGGAGCAACGCCGCGUGAGUGAAGAAGGUCUUAGGAUUGUAAAGCUCUGUCCUUAGGGAAGAACCGUGGGUAUAGUAAAUGCUACCCACCUGACGGUACCUUUGGAGGAAGCACUGGCUAACUACGUGCCAGCAGCCGCGGUAAUACGUAGAGUGCAAGCGUUGUCCGGAAUUAUUGGGCGUAAAGGGUACGCAGGCGGAUAAUCAAGUCAAGCGUGAAAGGUGUCGGCUUAACCGACAGACUGCGUUUGAAACUGGUUAUCUUGAGUGUAACAGAGGAGGGUGGAAUUCCUAGUGUAGUGGUGAAAUACGUAGAUAUUAGGAAGAACACCAGUGGCGAAGGCGACUCUCUGGGUUAACACUGACGCUGAGGUACGAAAGCUGGGGGAGCGAAAGGGAUUAGAUACCCCUGUAGUC